AGAUUGAACGCUGGCGGCAGGCCUAACACAUGCAAGUCGAGCGCGAAAGUCUUCGGAUGAGUAAAGCGGCGGACGGGUGAGUAACGCGUGGGAAUCUGCCUGGUAGUGGGGGACAACAGCCGGAAACGGCUGCUAAUACCGCAUACGCCCUACGGGGGAAAGGGGGGAUCUUCGGACCUCUCGCUAUCGAGAUGACG
RNAcentral lists this ribosomal RNA (197 nucleotides) under uncultured soil bacterium. RNAcentral describes it as "partial 16S ribosomal RNA". It matches the Rfam family "Bacterial small subunit ribosomal RNA", at positions 26 to 230 of the family's 1533-position model. The record is from RNAcentral.